This 98-nucleotide signal recognition particle RNA is filed under the name Pseudomonadota bacterium. Its description in RNAcentral is "Proteobacteria bacterium signal recognition particle sRNA small type". It matches the Rfam family "Bacterial small signal recognition particle RNA". Rfam says of the family: The signal recognition particle (SRP) is a universally conserved ribonucleoprotein involved in the co-translational targeting of proteins to membranes. Archaeal SRP consists of a 7S RNA and homologues of the eukaryotic SRP19 and SRP54 proteins. The record is from RNAcentral. Lineage: Bacteria; Pseudomonadati; Pseudomonadota.
GGAAGGUUGACAAUGGGCAGCUGUCCCGUUAACCCGGUCAGAUCCGAAAGGAAGCAGCCGCAUAUGGGUUGUGCUGGGUCGUUGCUCGGCCUUCCACC